AAGAGACGUUGCCCUUCGGGGUCGGCUCGUUGGAUUGUGCUGGUGGAGACACAUGUGCACGUCUACGAGUCGCAAACCCACACACCUGUGCAUCUAUGACUCUGAGUGCCGCCUUGCAUGGCCCCUUGAUUUGGGCCUGGCGCUCGAGUACUUUCACACACUCUUGAAUGUAAUGGAAUGUCUUGUUGUGCAUAACGUACAAACAGAAA
Molecule: unclassified non-coding RNA, 209 nt
Filed under: uncultured Sebacinales
Lineage: Eukaryota; Fungi; Basidiomycota; Agaricomycetes; Sebacinales
Description: sequence contains ITS1
Source: RNAcentral